UACGUAGGGUGCAAGCGUUAAUCGGAAUACUGGGCGUAAAGCGUGCGCAGGCGGUUAUGUAGGACAGGUGUGAAAUCCCAGGGCUCAACCUUGGAACUGCAUUUGUGACUGCAUAGCUAGAGUACGGUAGAGGGGGAUGGAAUUCCGCGUGUAGCAGUGAAGUGCGUAGAUAUGCGGAGGAACACCGAUGGCGAAGGCAAUCCCCUGGACCUGUACUGACGCUCAUGCACGAAAGCGUGGGGAGCAAACAGG
RNAcentral lists this ribosomal RNA (252 nucleotides) under uncultured bacterium. RNAcentral's name for it is "partial 16S ribosomal RNA". It matches the Rfam family "Bacterial small subunit ribosomal RNA", at positions 524 to 776 of the family's 1533-position model. The record is from RNAcentral.